AAUUUKCUGCUUUGGAUUUUUACAGGCAUUUGAAAUGAGAGGAAAAAAAUAGCAAUCAAGCAUUAAAGCCUGUAGAGAAAAACUUGAAUCUUAUUGGAAAAAAAGCUAAAUGACCUAAACAACAUCUUUUAGCCAUCUGGUUCAAGGUAAUUAAUUGCAUCACUAGCCACAAGAAUUCUACAUUCUCUGCAGAAUGUGAAGCAGUAGUUCAGCAGAGAAGUUGUUCUCUGAGAAAAGAGAAAGUUCACAGUAAGACAGCAUUAUUGGAAAGGGUAAGUAAGAGAGCUAUGGUUAGUAAAUGUGACUGCGUAACUUUAUUGAAGGUUGGAUUGCAUACUGAUGUAUCCCAGUAGAGGACCUGCCUCCUGUACACACAUAUCUUUCCCUCUAGAAAGACACAAUAAAUAGAAACUGUUCUAAUGAAUUAGUAUGUCC
RNAcentral lists this long non-coding RNA (435 nucleotides) under Dromaius novaehollandiae (emu). Its description in RNAcentral is "lncRNA (ENSDNVG00000010200.1)". The record is from RNAcentral. Lineage: Eukaryota; Metazoa; Chordata; Aves; Casuariiformes; Dromaiidae.